GACGAAGACUGACGCUCAGGUGCGAAAGCGGGGGGAGCAAACAGGAUUAGAUACCCUGGUAGUCCACGCCGUAAACGAUGUCGACUUGGAGGUUGUGGCUUCCGGAGCUAACGCGUUAAGUCGACCGCCUGGGGAGUACGGCCGCAAGGUUAAAACUCAAAUGAAUUGACGGGGGCCCGCACAAGCGGUGGAGCAUGUGGUUUAAUUCGAUGCAACGCGAAGAACCUUACCUGGUCUCGACAUCCAGGUGCUGCAUGGCUGUCGUCAGCUCGUGUUGUGAAAUGUUGGGUUAAGUCCCGCAACGAGCGCAACCCUUAUCCUUCGUUGCAACUCAAAGGAGACUGCCAGUGAUAAACUGGAGGAAGGUGGGGAUGACGUCAAGUCAUCAUGGCCCUUACGACCAGGGCUACACACGUGCUACAAUGGCGCAUACAAAGAGAAGCGACCUCGCGAGAGCAAGCGGACCUCAUAAAGUGCGUCGUAGUCCGGAUUGGAGUCUGCAACUCGACUCCACGAAGUCGGAAUCGCUAGUAAUCGUGGAUCAGAUGCCACGG
Molecule: ribosomal RNA, 554 nt
Filed under: uncultured bacterium
Lineage: Bacteria
Description: bacterial SSU rRNA
Rfam family: Bacterial small subunit ribosomal RNA
Source: RNAcentral